AAAGGAAUUGACGGGACCCCGCACAAGCGGUGGAUCAUGUUGUUUAAUUCGAGGAUACGCGAAGAACCUUACCAGGCCUUGACAUACUCUGCAAAGCUAUAGAGAUAUAGUGGAGGUUAACAGAGAUACAGGUGGUGCAUGGUUGUCGUCAGCUCGUGUCGUGAGAUGUUGGGUUAAGUCCCGUAACGAGCGCAACCCUUGUUGCUAGUUGCCAUCAUUAAGUUGGGGACUCUAGCGAGACUGCCAGUGAUAAACUGGAGGAAGGUGGGGAUGACGUCAAAUCAUCAUGCCCCUUAUGGCCUGGGCUACAAACGUGAUACAAUGGCUGGAACAAAGAGAUGCGAAAGGGCAACCUGAAGCGGAACUCAUAAAGACAGUCUCAGUUCGGAUUGGAGUCUGCAACUCGACUCCAUGAAGUCGGAAUCGCUAGUAAUCGCAGGUCAGCAUACUGCGGUGAAUACGUUCUCGGGGUUUGUACACACCGCCCGU
Molecule: ribosomal RNA, 489 nt
Filed under: uncultured bacterium
Lineage: Bacteria
Description: bacterial SSU rRNA
Rfam family: Bacterial small subunit ribosomal RNA
Source: RNAcentral